GAGUGCGAUCAUACCAGCACUAAAGCACCGGAUCCCAUCAGAACUCCGAAGUUAAGCGUGCUUGGGCGAGAGUAGUACUAGGAUGGGUGACCCCCUGGGAAGUCCUCGUGUUGCACUCC
RNAcentral lists this ribosomal RNA (119 nucleotides) under Musa acuminata subsp. malaccensis (wild Malaysian banana). RNAcentral also lists the same sequence under 2 other names. Lineage: Eukaryota; Viridiplantae; Streptophyta; Magnoliopsida; Zingiberales; Musaceae. The record is from RNAcentral.